CGUCAGGGAGCCGGAACAAGAGCCUCCUGUGGUCUAGCGGUGAUGAUUUCAAAACCCCAUCUCUAGUGUGGUUCACAUCUUAUUACCUCCAGCAAUACAAUGCUGGGCAUUGCCCAGGAAAAAGCUUGGCUGUGUCUUAUGGUGGUUAUGAGGAUAUAGUGCAAGAGUGGAAGAAAAAAGACUGCCACCAGGAUCAUGGCUGCAGCGAUCUUUCAUCAUCCGCUCAAUUGUUGUCUGUUGGGAAGAUUAAGCAAUGUGACAAACACAAAGAGCAACUGUUUAGACAAAAAUCCCCUAUUCCCUGCUUAUGAAAUUGCACAUCUCAUCAGUGUGUGUAAUUUGUUAUCAUCUUGUGCCUAGGUUUGCUUUCAGGGAAAGGAUGAGCCACUUUGAGUGAAAUGUGAGACGGAUAAUCCGCACCAAAAUUGAAAUUGCUGCAAUGUGAGCUUGGAUUAUUGUCCUUGCUAAUUUACAAAGCCGUGCACUUGAUACCAUCAGCUCACAUCAACCCUUUGUGAUAAAUCAUUAACCAUGUCUAAUACCAAAGUCCUAAUGGAAACUUCAAUUAUGUGACUGAGCAGUUGAAAUGAAGAUAGGUGGAGCAAAAAUUAUAGAACUUAGAUGGAGAUAUCAUGAGUAAACUAAUGUUAAAUCAGUAUUUUCCACAGACCAGAAGUGAAAGAGGUCCACAAAGUAAUUCAGAAGUAAACACAAUAAAAAGUUAACAAUAGCUCAAGAAAUUCACAUUCACAGUUCAAAUUUUGCUUAAUCUGGCUCUGAAUUCAAGAAGGCUUUCUAAUCAAUUGUUUCCAUCAGCUAUUUAUGUUCGGUAACUAAAAUGUUUGGUGUCUAAAAUUGGUUUUGCUAAAAAUAAAAACCUGAUUCACUGUAACACGAUGACAGUUCAUCACCAAGUUCUUUUCCCUUUCAAUUCCUUUUGUCUUGCUAAAAUC
Long non-coding RNA from Stegostoma tigrinum, 953 nucleotides. RefSeq lists it as uncharacterized. The record is from RefSeq and is a predicted model, not a curated record. The transcript is spliced from 3 exons. Lineage: Eukaryota; Metazoa; Chordata; Chondrichthyes; Orectolobiformes; Stegostomatidae.